Molecule: unclassified non-coding RNA, 378 nt
Filed under: uncultured Chlamydiales bacterium
Lineage: Bacteria; Pseudomonadati; Chlamydiota; Chlamydiia; Chlamydiales
Description: contains 16S-23S intergenic spacer region
Source: RNAcentral
UCCUGGUUAACCCAGGCAGUCUCAUUAGGGUUCCCGCCUUGACGCGUUGGCAACUAAUGAUAAGGGUUGCGCUCGUUGCUGGACUUAACCAAACACCUCGCGGCACGAGCUGACGACAGCCAUGCAGCACCUAUAUAGAAGCCCUUUCGGGAAAUAUCAUCUCUGAUAUCGUCCUCUACAUUUCGAGCCCAGGUAAGGUUCUUCGCGUUGCAUCGAAUUAAACCACAUGCUCCACUGCUUGUGCGGGCCCCCGUCAAUUCUUUUGAGUUUCACCCUUGCGAGCGUACUCCCCAGGCGGCAUACUUAAUGCGUUAGCUCCGGUACAGAAGGGGUUGAGCCCUCCUACACCUAGUAUGCAUCGUUUAAGGCUAGGACUAC